Molecule: long non-coding RNA, 343 nt
Organism: Myxocyprinus asiaticus (Chinese sucker)
Lineage: Eukaryota; Metazoa; Chordata; Actinopteri; Cypriniformes; Catostomidae
Exons: 3
Source: RefSeq, a predicted model, not a curated record
UCUCGUUGAUGUUAAAGACCAAGUUUCGAGGAGAGGAGGGCGGUCCUGAAAAAAAAAGAGACACCUGAUUCCUUAACAAGUUACAACAAUGAUUGCUGCUGGUGUUGAAAAGAAUAAGAUUGGUGAAUAAUUUGAGUAAGCAUGAUGGGGGGCAAAAGGAGUGAAAGAGAAGAGGAUGAUGAAGCAGAAUACUGGAAACACAGGAAUUCUGAUUGAUAAAAAGCAUAGAAGAAGACAUGUCCGAAGAACCAAUGGGUCACCAGUACACUGAACUGAGAAAACAAUUCGGACUCGGAGACUCGGACAUGUCCGCUGAGAACCAAUGAGCAUAAGUGAACCGAUG